RNAcentral lists this ribosomal RNA (383 nucleotides) under uncultured bacterium. Its description in RNAcentral is "bacterial SSU rRNA". It matches the Rfam family "Bacterial small subunit ribosomal RNA", at positions 28 to 412 of the family's 1533-position model. The record is from RNAcentral.
GACGAACGCUGGCGGCGUGCUUAACACAUGCAAGUCGAGCGGUAAGGCCCUUUCGGGGGUACACGAGCGGCGAACGGGUGAGUAACACGUGGGUGACCUGCCCUCAGCUCUGGGAUAAGCCUGGGAAACCGGGUCUAAUACCGGAUAUGACUCCAUGACGCAUGUUGUGGGGUGGAAAGCCUUGUGCGGCUGAGGAUGGGCCCGCGGCCUAUCAGCUUGUUGGUGGGGUGAUGGCCUACCAAGGCGACGACGGGUAGCCGGCCUGGGAGGGCGACCGGCCACACUGGGACUGAGACACGGCCCAGACUCCUACGGGAGGCAGCAGUGGGGAAUCUUGCGCAAUGGGCGAAAGCCUGACGCAGCGACGCCGCGUGAGGGAUGAC